Molecule: long non-coding RNA, 257 nt
Organism: Corvus hawaiiensis (hawaiian crow)
Lineage: Eukaryota; Metazoa; Chordata; Aves; Passeriformes; Corvidae
Exons: 2
Source: RefSeq, a predicted model, not a curated record
GGCUCUUCUGCAGCAGAAGCGCCUGGCUGCUGCUCUACAUGGAUAGGCAUGGGGACGAGGACCCUCUCCCAUCCCAUUGGACACAGGGGGAUCACGUUUUGAUGUCUGUGUUUUUAGAUUGAACCAGGUGGGGAAAACCAUGUCCUGUCCCCCUCCCGUGGAAUGAGGAGAUGAUGAUCAUCCCUGGAGGAAUCGCCUGAUCCCCUGUGAGCCCUGGGCCUUUUUCCUCAAAUGGCCAAUAAACCCCUUCAGCAAAU